Molecule: transfer RNA, 64 nt
Filed under: Cavia porcellus (domestic guinea pig)
Lineage: Eukaryota; Metazoa; Chordata; Mammalia; Rodentia; Caviidae
Rfam family: tRNA
About the family: Transfer RNA (tRNA) molecules are approximately 80 nucleotides in length. Their secondary structure includes four short double-helical elements and three loops (D, anti-codon, and T loops). Further hydrogen bonds mediate the characteristic L-shaped molecular structure. tRNAs have two regions of fundamental functional importance: the anti-codon, which is responsible for specific mRNA codon recognition, and the 3' end, to which the tRNAs corresponding amino acid is attached (by aminoacyl-tRNA synthetases). tRNAs cope with the degeneracy of the genetic code in two manners: having more than one tRNA (with a specific anti-codon) for a particular amino acid; and 'wobble' base-pairing, i.e. permitting non-standard base-pairing at the 3rd anti-codon position.
Source: Rfam by way of RNAcentral
GGGGAUUUAGCUCAGCGGCAUAAGCGCCUGCCUUGCAAGCAGGUAGUCGUGACUUCAAUCCCCG